UACGUAGGGGGCAAGCGUUGUCCGGAUUUAUUGGGCGUAAAGAGCGUGUAGGCGGCCUGGUAGGUCAGCUGUGAAAACUCGAGGCUCAACCUCGAGACGCCGAUGGAAACCAUCUGGCUAGAGUCCGGAAGAGGAGAGUGGAAUUCCCGGUGUAGCGGUGAAAUGCGCAGAUAUCGGGAAGAACACCCGUGGCUAAGGCGGCUCUCUAGUACGGUACUGACGCUGAGACGCGAAAGCGUGGGGAGCGAACAGG
RNAcentral lists this ribosomal RNA (253 nucleotides) under uncultured bacterium. RNAcentral describes it as "partial 16S ribosomal RNA". It matches the Rfam family "Bacterial small subunit ribosomal RNA", at positions 524 to 776 of the family's 1533-position model. The record is from RNAcentral.